CAGAGUGAUGAAAACACGACACGGAAAGGCAUUCCUCGACCUGAAUAUACAAUGUCGACACACUUGCUUUUAGUUUCAGCCUUGUCUGACA
The sequence is a small nucleolar RNA, 91 nucleotides long. It matches the Rfam family "A. fumigatus snoRNA Afu_455". The record is from Rfam.